This 479-nucleotide ribosomal RNA is filed under the name uncultured bacterium. Its description in RNAcentral is "partial 16S ribosomal RNA". It matches the Rfam family "Bacterial small subunit ribosomal RNA", at positions 28 to 507 of the family's 1533-position model. The record is from RNAcentral.
GAUGAACGCUGGCGGCGUGCUUAACACAUGCAAGUCGAACGAAGCACUUAAGAUUGAUUCUUCGGAUGCCGUCUUUUGUGCCUUAGUGGCGGACGGGUGAGUAACGCGUGGGUAACCUGCCUCACACAGGGGGAUAACAGUUAGAAAUGACUGCUAAUACCGCAUAACCCGAUAGGAUCGCAUGAUCCAGACGGAAAAGAUUUAUCGGUGUGAGAUGGACCCGCGUCUGAUUAGCUAGUUGGUGAGGUAACGGCCCACCAAGGCGACGAUCAGUAGCCGGCCUGAGAGGGUGAGCGGCCACAUUGGGACUGAGACACGGCCCAAACUCCUACGGGAGGCAGCAGUGGGGAAUAUUGCACAAUGGGGGAAACCCUGAUGCAGCGACGCCGCGUGAGUGAAGAAGUAUUUCGGUAUGUAAAGCUCUAUCAGCAGGGAAGAAAAUGACGGUACCUGACGAAGAAGCCCCGGCUAACUACGUG